Molecule: transfer-messenger RNA, 392 nt
Filed under: Candidatus Amesiibacteriota bacterium
Lineage: Bacteria; Candidatus Amesiibacteriota
Description: Candidatus Amesbacteria bacterium (hot springs metagenome) transfer-messenger RNA
Rfam family: transfer-messenger RNA
About the family: Bacterial tmRNA, also known as 10Sa RNA or SsrA, is named for its dual tRNA and mRNA-like properties. Its role is to liberate the mRNA from a stalled ribosome.
Source: RNAcentral
GGGGAUGAAAGGAAUCGACGGAAGGCGCUCUUUUAAAACUGCAAGCCUCCUUUGAUCCAAAGGAGAAAAACAGGAUCAAAAAAGAAAAGACACUUCUUACGAAGUUGCCCCUAGAAUUGACCGCGAUUUCGCUGUCAAUUACGCUUUUGCGUAAAUCCAGCUCAAACUGGACUAGGCGUCUGAAAGGUUUUUGCUUGUCGGAAUCUUUCGGGCGUGAACAAAGACAAGCCGCAAUAUUGAUGCCGCCAAGACAUCAAUACCAAGCGCUUUCUUGGCAACCUUUAACUUUCCUGGCUAACGGAUCAGGUUAAAGGCAAAAAAGUUAGCCUAAGCUUGUAGAUGUUUUAAAAGAAGUCUUUCGGAUUCCGGUUCAAUUCCGGACAUCUCCACCA